This is a long non-coding RNA of Daphnia carinata, 737 nucleotides long. RefSeq lists it as uncharacterized. The record is from RefSeq and is a predicted model, not a curated record. The transcript has 3 exons. Lineage: Eukaryota; Metazoa; Arthropoda; Branchiopoda; Diplostraca; Daphniidae.
CCUUCAGCAUCGAGGCAUUUCAAAUUCAGAUGAUGAAACCAUUUUCUCGUCUUCUAUCCUUCAUUCCAAAACUUUCGCAAUGGCUUUGGGAGAUAACGUCUUACACUACCUUUCAACGAAUUCCCUACGCAGUCAGCUUUUUCUGAAAAAAGAAUUGGUAAAAUUAUUCCAGGGGAGCGAUGAGCAAGGCACUUUUGAACUAGUAGGGGGCAGGAACAAAAUGGGUGUGUCAUAGAAACUAGUUUUCUUUUCGACGCCAGCACGUGAGUAAUAUAUUCCGGAAGCUAUGACAUGCGAUAAAAAAGGAACUGUUUAAGGGAAUCGUCUGUGGGGGACGCUUUAACAAUUUUGAUAAAUUCGUCCUUCAGGCAAGCCAUUUCUCGAAACUGUAUUUUAUGAUUUAAAAAUAUCUAUUGGGUUUGCUUAAUUAUUUAUUAUUAAUUAUUAUUGUUUCCUUGGAUCCGUUUUGAGUGAGCAUUCCACUGAUCAAGGUUCGCAGGAUUCUGGAUUUCAAGAUCAAUCCCGAAGACGUUCGAGAGCUAAAGAAGAUUUAUUAAAAGAGAACCGUAUUGACCUUAGUGCAAAAAUGCGGCACAGAAACUGCUCAGAGAAUGAAUAACUCGAAAUUUCUUGAAGUGCCAUACACCUGUUAACUUUAACCGAUGCCUAAGAGAAACGUUUUCGUGCUCAUAUUUAUAUGCGGCGACAAUCAACAGUUGUGGUUUUACGCUUUUAAU